GCAAUUAUACCGUGAAACUGCGAAUGGCUCAUUAAAUCAGUUAUCGUUUAUUUGAUAGUACCUUACUACUUGGAUAACCGUGGUAAUUCUAGAGCUAAUACAUGCUGAAAACCCCAACUUCGGAAGGGGUGUAUUUAUUAGAUAAAAAACCAACGCCCUUCGGGGCUUCUUGGUGAUUCAUGAUAACUUCUCAGAUCGCAUGGCCUUGCGCCGGCGACGGUUCAUUCAAAUUUCUGCCCUAUCAACUUUCGAUGGUAAGGUAUUGGCUUACCAUGGUUUCAACGGGUAACGGGGAAUUAGGGUUCGAUUCCGGAGAGGGAGCCUGAGAAACGGCUACCACAUCCAAGGAAGGCAGCAGGCGCGCAAAUUACCCAAUCCCGACUCGGGGAGGUAGUGACAAUAAAUACUGAUACAGGGCUCUUUUGGGUCUUGUAAUUGGAAUGAGUACAAUUUAAACCUCUUAACGAGGAACAAUUGGAGGGCAAGUCUGGUGCCAGCAGCCGCGGUAAUUCCAGCUCCAAUAGCGUAUAUUAAAGUUGUUGCAGUUAAAAAGCUCGUAGUUGAACCUUUGGCCUGGCUGGUGGGUCCGCCUCACCGCGUGCACUCGUCCGGCCGGGCCUUCUCUUCUGGAGAACCUCAUGCCCUUCACUGGGUGUGCUGGGGACCAGGACUUUUACUUUGAAAAAAUUAGAGUGUUCAAAGCAGGCCUUUGCUCGAAUACGUUAGCAUGGAAUAAUAGAAUAGGACGUGCGGUCCUAUUUUGUUGGUUUCUAGGACCGCCGUAAUGAUUAAUAGGGACAGUCGGGGGCAUCAGUAUUCAAUUGUCAGAGGUGAAAUUCUUGGAUUUAUUGAAGACUAACUACUGCGAAAGCAUUUGCCAAGGAUGUUUUCAUUAAUCAGUGAACGAAAGUUAGGGGAUCGAAGACGAUCAGAUACCGUCGUAGUCUUAACCAUAAACUAUGCCGACUAGGGAUCGGGCGGUGUUUCUAUAUUGACCCGCUCGGCACCUUACGAGAAAUCAAAGUG
Molecule: ribosomal RNA, 1026 nt
Filed under: Paramultiseptospora bambusae
Lineage: Eukaryota; Fungi; Ascomycota; Dothideomycetes; Pleosporales; Parabambusicolaceae
Description: SSU rRNA
Rfam family: Eukaryotic small subunit ribosomal RNA
Source: RNAcentral